RNAcentral lists this ribosomal RNA (473 nucleotides) under rhizosphere soil bacterium RSC-II-29. RNAcentral describes it as "bacterial SSU rRNA". It matches the Rfam family "Bacterial small subunit ribosomal RNA", at positions 9 to 461 of the family's 1533-position model. The record is from RNAcentral.
GAGUUUGAUCCUGGCUCAGAGCGAACGUUAGCGGCGGGCUUAACACAUGCAAGUCGAGCGAGAAAGUGGCUUCGGCCAUCAGUAAAGCGGCGGACGGGUGAGUAACACGUAGGUAAUCUUCCCUUGAGCGGGGGACAACGAGCCGAAAGGCUCGCUAAUACCGCAUAAGUUUCCAGGGACCUCGGUCUUUGGAAGGAAAGCUAGCCAGGUCGCAAGACUUGGCCGGCACUCGAGGAGGGGCCUGCGUCGCAUCAGCUAGUUGGUGGGGUAAUGGCUCACCAAGGCGAAGACGCGUAGCUGGUCUGAGAGGAUGAUCAGCCACACUGGGACUGAGACACGGCCCAGACUCCUACGGGAGGCAGCAGUGGGGAAUAUUGGACAAUGGGCGCAAGCCUGAUCCAGCCACGCCGCGUGAGUGAUGAAGGCCUUCGGGUCGUAAAGCUCGUGUGGAGGGGGACGAACCGCUGCACGUU